GAUGAACGCUGGCGGCGUGCCUAAUACAUGCAAGUCGAGCGAACGGACCCGAAGCUUGCUUUUCUGAUGUUGUCGGCGGACGGGUGCGUAACAUGUGGAUAACCUACCUCUCAGACUGGGAUACCUUCGGGAAACCGGAUCUUAUACCGGAUAAUAUUUUGCACCUCAUUGUUCAAAAGUUAAAGACGGUCUUGCUGUCACUUAUAGAUGGAUCCGCGCUGCAUUAGCUAGUUGGUAAGGUAACGGCUUACCAAGGCAACGAUGCAUAGCCGACCUGAGAGAGUGAACGGACAGAAGGGAAGUGAGACAGGGUCCAGACUCUGAAGGGAGGAAGCAGUAGAGAAUCUUACGCAAUGGGCGAAAGCCUGAUGGAGCAAAGCCGCGUGAGUGAUGAAGGAGUACUGAUGGUAAAAAUCUGUUAUUAGGGAAGAAGAAAUGUGUAAGUAACCGUGAACAUCAUGACGGUACCUAAGCAAAAAGCCACGGCUAACUACGUG
RNAcentral lists this ribosomal RNA (497 nucleotides) under uncultured bacterium. RNAcentral's name for it is "partial 16S ribosomal RNA". It matches the Rfam family "Bacterial small subunit ribosomal RNA", at positions 28 to 507 of the family's 1533-position model. The record is from RNAcentral.